UGGUUCUGGCAUNGAUGAAGAACGCAGCGAAAUGCGAUAAGUAAUGUGAAUUGCAGAAUUCAGUGAAUCAUCGAAUCUUUGAACGCACAUUGCGCCCCCUGGUAUUCCGGGGGGCACACCUGUCCGAGCGUCGGCUAAAACUUCGAGCGCAGCUUGUUGAUGGGCGACGUGCUGCCUGACGGCGGCACCCUCCCCAAAGCCAUCGGCGCCCUGCCCCCGAGCCACGAGCAGUAGGUUCUCUCUCGUAGGCGAAAGAGGCGGAGGUGAGCCGCAGCCCUGGGCUGUACUUGCCAUUGGCACUAAAAUCGACCUCGGAUCAGGUGGGACUACCCGCUGA
Molecule: unclassified non-coding RNA, 337 nt
Filed under: uncultured fungus
Lineage: Eukaryota; Fungi
Description: partial contains 5.8S ribosomal RNA and internal transcribed spacer 2
Rfam family: 5.8S ribosomal RNA (bases 1-133)
Source: RNAcentral